GAUAAACGCUAGCGGCAGGCUUAACACAUGCAAGUCGAGGGGCAGCAUAGAUUGUAGCAAUACAAUUGGUGGCGACCGGCGCACCGGUGCGUAACGCGUAUGCAACCUACCCGUCACAGGGGGAUAAUCCGGAGAAAUCUGGUCUAAUACCCCAUAACAUAUGGAUCGGCAUCGGUUCAUGUUGAAAUUUUCGGAGGUGACAGAUGGGCAUGCGUAGCAUUAGCUUGUUGGUGAGGUAACGGCUCACCAAGGCGACGAUGCUUAGGGGGACUGAGAGGUUUUCCCCCCACACUGGUACUGAGACACGGACCAGACUCCUACGGGAGGCAGCAGUGAGGAGUAUUGGUCAAUGGGCGCAAGCCUGAACCAGCCAUGCCGCGUGCAGGAUGACGGCUCUAUGAGUUGUAAACUGCUUUUGUACGAGGGUAAAGUGGGUUACGUGUAACCUUUUGAAAGUAUCGUACGAAUAAGGAUCGGCUAACUCCGUGCCAGCCGCCGCAGUAA
RNAcentral lists this ribosomal RNA (504 nucleotides) under uncultured bacterium. Its description in RNAcentral is "partial 16S ribosomal RNA". It matches the Rfam family "Bacterial small subunit ribosomal RNA", at positions 28 to 523 of the family's 1533-position model. The record is from RNAcentral.